Long non-coding RNA from Ictalurus furcatus (blue catfish), 614 nucleotides. RefSeq lists it as uncharacterized. NCBI's taxonomy places the organism in Eukaryota, Metazoa, Chordata, Actinopteri, Siluriformes, Ictaluridae. The transcript is spliced from 3 exons. The record is from RefSeq and is a predicted model, not a curated record.
UACUCCACCGAGGACGUCACUCCCCAUUAGGCUCCACUUUGAGCUUCGUUCCCCCUGUUGUGCUGCGUGGAAGCCAUCGCUCUGUGCUCACGUCAUCUUACUGCGGUGCUGAAGAGACCGCCCCACAACUAACAAAGGUUAAUUGAGACCUUCAUUUUGAUGUUCAGUAACCAGUCUUACUGCAUCUUACUAAAGCCCUUCCCACAUGCUGUCAACACCAGUGCUCAGAAUUCUUAUUUAAUCUAGCUGGAACAAAAAGAAUUGGCAGAAACCUACGAACAGGAGACGAGAGCAAAGAUCCAUGAGGAGCCAUGCUUCAACUGUUGCUACUCUUUGGAACGGUAUUACAGUGAAGGAGAAAGUGUGCCUCUGUCUCAACCUCACCAUUCUUACAGUGACAGACUCUUUCUUCCUUUGGAAGCCACAUUUGCUUGUGUCUGCUUUUCUCUACGGCUAGGCCGUGAUCACUGUGCCCGUAUUUUGUAGGGAUCUGUCUCUGUUUUGUAUCUCUGAUGCUGAUGAGAUAUUCAGUCAGCUCAUACUUUCAGUUUAGGGCCCGAUAACAUUCCAGUUUUCUUAACUCUCUUAUCAGACAUAGUCUUCAUUCUUUUUUA